This 373-nucleotide ribosomal RNA is filed under the name uncultured bacterium. RNAcentral's name for it is "bacterial SSU rRNA". It matches the Rfam family "Bacterial small subunit ribosomal RNA", at positions 521 to 896 of the family's 1533-position model. The record is from RNAcentral.
UAAUACGGAGGGUCCGAGCGUUAUCCGGAAUCAUUGGGUUUAAAGGGUCCGUAGGCGGGCCUGUAAGUCAGGGGUGAAAGUUUGUGGCUCAACCAUAAAAUUGCCUUUGAUACUGCAGGUCUUGAGUCAUGGUGGGGUUGCCGGAACAUGUGGUGUAGCGGUGAAAUGCAUAGAUAUCACAUAGAACACCGAUCGCGAAGGCAGGUGACCAACCAUGUACUGACGCUGAUGGACGAAAGCGUGGGUAGCGAACGGGAUUAGAUACCCCGGUAGUCCACGCCGUAAACGAUGGAUACUAGCUGUGGGGACUUCGGUCUCCGUGGCCAAGCGAAAGUGAUAAGUAUCCCACCUGGGGAGUACGUUCGCAAGAAUG